RNAcentral lists this long non-coding RNA (279 nucleotides) under Lathyrus oleraceus (garden pea). Its description in RNAcentral is "Pisum sativum (pea) long non-coding RNA (PSAT_LNC007435)". Lineage: Eukaryota; Viridiplantae; Streptophyta; Magnoliopsida; Fabales; Fabaceae. The record is from RNAcentral.
AACAAGAAAAUGCAAGGCAAUUUGAAAUAAUGCGCUCAGACGGACUCGAACCGUGUGCGAAUUUGAACUAAUGCGCGCGCUUCCAAAAACGGUACCGUUUUGGACAUAAACCCUAGCGCUCCAAAAUUCGUAGCAAAUUUGAAAAUCCGUAGCAAAACCGUGGCAAUCUCGUAGCAAAACCUGGAAACGAUGAUCUUCAUCUUCAUGAAGAUGAACAGUGUACGUGUUCAUGCACGUCCAGAAAUAUUUCUCCAGAAAUCAAAAUUAAGCACAUCAACA